AACCUAGCACACCUGCGGUGUGUACCUGCGGAGGGAUCAUUACCGAGUGUGGUCCCAUAUAAGGGGCGCCUCCCGUCCUUUGCAGGGCCUUUAGGGGCUUUUUGACUUUGCUUCGGCGGGCUUGCCCCGCCGGAACACCCUCAAGAAAAUCUUUAUGAACCGUUUGUCUGAGUUGCUUGCGAAUAAAAACAAAACUUUUAGCAAUGGAUCU
Molecule: unclassified non-coding RNA, 211 nt
Filed under: soil metagenome
Description: partial contains 5.8S ribosomal RNA, internal transcribed spacer 2, and large subunit ribosomal RNA
Source: RNAcentral